This 509-nucleotide ribosomal RNA is filed under the name Candida albicans. Its description in RNAcentral is "eukaryotic LSU rRNA". The stretch from base 139 to 292 matches the Rfam family "5.8S ribosomal RNA". The record is from RNAcentral. Lineage: Eukaryota; Fungi; Ascomycota; Pichiomycetes; Serinales; Debaryomycetaceae.
AUGACUUGCUUAUUGCACCACAUGUGUUUUUCUUUGAAACAAACUUGCUUUGGCGGUGGGCCCAGCCUGCCGCCAGAGGUCUAAACUUACAACCAAUUUUUUAUCAACUUGUCACACCAGAUUAUUACUAAUAGUCAAAACUUUCAACAACGGAUCUCUUGGUUCUCGCAUCGAUGAAGAACGCAGCGAAAUGCGAUACGUAAUAUGAAUUGCAGAUAUUCGUGAAUCAUCGAAUCUUUGAACGCACAUUGCGCCCUCUGGUAUUCCGGAGGGCAUGCCUGUUUGAGCGUCGUUUCUCCCUCAAACCGCUGGGUUUGGUGUUGAGCAAUACGACUUGGGUUUGCUUGAAAGACGGUAGUGGUAAGGCGGGAUCGCUUUGACAAUGGCUUAGGUCUAACCAAAAACAUUGCUUGCGGCGGUAACGUCCACCACGUAUAUCUUCAAACUUUGACCUCAAAUCAGGUAGGACUACCCGCUGAACUUAAGCAUAUCAAAAGCCGGGAGGAACA